GAUGAAGAACGCAGCGAAAUGCGAUAAGUAAUGUGAAUUGCAGAAUUCAGUGAAUCAUCGAAUCUUCGAACGCACAUUGCGCCCGCCAGUAUUCUGGCGGGCAUGCCUGUUCGAGCGUCAUUUCAACCAUCAAGCCCCCGGCUUGUGUUGGGGACCUGCGGCUGCCGCAGGCCCUGAAAAGCAGUGGCGGGCUCGCUGUCACACCGAGCGUAGUAGAUUUCAUCUCGCUCAGGGCGUGCUGCGGGUUCCGGCCGUUAAACCACCUUCAUAACCCAAGGUUGACCUCGGAUCAGGUAGGAAGACCCGCUGAACUUAAGCAUAUCAAUAAGCGGAGGA
RNAcentral lists this unclassified non-coding RNA (336 nucleotides) under soil metagenome. RNAcentral describes it as "partial contains 5.8S ribosomal RNA, internal transcribed spacer 2, and large subunit ribosomal RNA". The stretch from base 1 to 120 matches the Rfam family "5.8S ribosomal RNA", at positions 35 to 154 of the family's 154-position model. The record is from RNAcentral.